Long non-coding RNA from Poecilia latipinna (sailfin molly), 117 nucleotides. RefSeq lists it as uncharacterized. The record is from RefSeq and is a predicted model, not a curated record. The transcript has 3 exons. Lineage: Eukaryota; Metazoa; Chordata; Actinopteri; Cyprinodontiformes; Poeciliidae.
AAUCAAACAUGAAAUAAAAGCAGAUUUUAAAUAAAGGCUGAAAUGUUCUGAAACCAGAACAUCCAAACCGGGUCAGAACUUCCGAACCGGGUCAGAACCGGCCAGAACUGGGUCAGA